CAGUUGUGCCUGAUAGGAGGGC
RNAcentral lists this non-coding RNA (22 nucleotides) under Rattus norvegicus (Norway rat). Lineage: Eukaryota; Metazoa; Chordata; Mammalia; Rodentia; Muridae. The record is from RNAcentral.